Molecule: long non-coding RNA, 617 nt
Filed under: Homo sapiens (human)
Lineage: Eukaryota; Metazoa; Chordata; Mammalia; Primates; Hominidae
Description: HSALNT0026346
Source: RNAcentral
UGAGGAUUUUAAACCUUACACUAUCAGCAAUGAGAGUCAACCAAAUUUUUAGUAGAAAAGAUGUGUGUUCAAUUUUAUAUUUUAAACAGCAACUCCAGGAGAAGAAGGGUGUGAGAUUGGAAGCUAUAGACAUAGUUGCUGGCUGUUGAUCAGAUUAGUUUAAAAAUGAAGAAGACCUGAGCUAAUAUGAAGACGAAAAUUGAGCGAGCUGAAGAAAAUAGUUUCAGCCUUCCCGUUCCCCAUCCUUAGCUGUCCUGCGGCACACACGUGGAGUAAGCAGAGAGGGGCGUGGUCCAGCCUACUGCAUCAAUGAUGGUGCUGCCCUGUGUCUGUUCAGCAUUGAAAACUAUGUUCAUGUGAAAAUCGUGAGUAAAAUUAAUAAAUCAUAAAUAUAGGACUCAGCCAGGAUCUGAUUUUAAAGCUAAGGUGCUACAGUAAUACUGCUGUGUGUUUUUAAAAUGUUUAUGUAAUUAUGUCUCCAUUGUAAUUAUGGAGAGCUUUAAAAUGCCUGGGUUGUUUGUAACGGUCCUUAUUGAUUAUCCUAGUUGCAUUGUGAGCCGCAAUGUUUUUACAUUCAUCAGGAAGAAUAAGACGAAAAAAUACAAAGCACAACGGCA